UCCAUAUCGGUUGAUAGCACACACCGAUAAGAAGACAUCGGUACAUUCACGUAUCAUCUGGGCAUGCUCUUGGUCUCAUGAUAGUCAAUUUUUUGCUACAUCCUCCAGAGAUAAGAAGGUGAUUGUGUGGGGUAAGAAGAAAAGCGUGGAUGAGGACCAAGGUGACGCCGGUCCUCUUGGACAGUACGGAGCUUUGUCCAAGCCGCUGGACGUUGGUGAUUCUGCUACAGCUAUAGACUUUGCCAGACAACUCACAACAAAUGGAAGCUACAUCCUGGCUGUUGGUGUAGAAUCAGGAUCAAUAUCAGUCCAUUCAUGGCAUCCUUCCCAGCCAACUGC
Long non-coding RNA from Strongylocentrotus purpuratus (purple sea urchin), 339 nucleotides. RefSeq lists it as uncharacterized. The record is from RefSeq and is a predicted model, not a curated record. Lineage: Eukaryota; Metazoa; Echinodermata; Echinoidea; Camarodonta; Strongylocentrotidae. The transcript has 3 exons.